GACAGAGGGGGCAAGCGUUGCUCGGAAUUACUGGGCGUAAAGGGCGCGUAGGCGGGAUGGCAAGUCGGUCGUGAAAUCCCUCGGCUCAACCGAGGAACGUCGAUCGAUACUGCUGUUCUUGAGGAUUGCAGAGGAGACUGGAAUUCCCGGUGUAGCGGUGAAAUGUGUAGAGAUCGGGAGGAACACCGGUGGCGAAGGCGGGUCUCUGGGCAAUAACUGACGCUGAGGAGCGAAAGCGUGGGGAGCGAACAGG
RNAcentral lists this ribosomal RNA (253 nucleotides) under uncultured bacterium. RNAcentral's name for it is "partial 16S ribosomal RNA". It matches the Rfam family "Bacterial small subunit ribosomal RNA", at positions 524 to 776 of the family's 1533-position model. The record is from RNAcentral.